RNAcentral lists this transfer RNA (72 nucleotides) under Aspergillus niger. RNAcentral describes it as "tRNA-Pro". The record is from RNAcentral. Lineage: Eukaryota; Fungi; Ascomycota; Eurotiomycetes; Eurotiales; Aspergillaceae.
GUCUAACAAAUUCAUAGGUAUGAUUCUCGCUUUGGGUGCGAGAGGUCCCGCGUUCGAAUCGCGGUUCGGGCC